AUAUAUAUAUAUAUAUAUAUAUAUAUAUAUAUAUAUAUAUAUAUAUAUUCAUCAUACUACGUAUUUAAGUGUCUCAUAAGCCUAUGUAGGCUGUGUGACAAUACGUGAUUGUAUAUAGUAUAAAUAUUUUAUGUGUGUAGUCAUGCAACACUAAUAAACAAAUAAACAAACUAAAUACUAAUGGGUCUUAACGUUAACUUAAUUAUGGUGUGAGAGUAAGAUUUUUGCGCAGUCUGUAUUAUCUUGGAAGAGAUGGCUUGUUUAAUGCUAUUGUUAUUCAUAUAAUGAUGUACUUGGUAUUAUAGUAUUUGUACAAUAUUCAGUGUGGUUUAUUAUUAUUGUAGUUAGAUCUCUAUAUUUGACUGCCUGUGUCAGUUGCCGGCCAGGUUAUAGAAACUUAAUGGCACAUACUUUGUAUGUAUAUGACUGUAUUGUUACAUGUGUAUAUUUUUAUAACGUCGUAAUGUACUUGAAUUUGUUAAAAAUUAGUAAUGAAUGUAUUAGUAAAGUAUGGCUUGUGUAUUUGUAUAAAUUAAUAAUAUAUGCUGUUAUCUCAUGCAUAUUGUGAAUCUAUUGUUUAGUAUGCACCAUGUAUUGGUCAUAUGUGAUUCGGUAUAUAUCUUUAACUAUCAGUGACAGUAUAUGAAAUGUCAUGUGUCAAUUGUCAUAUACAUGUUACAUGUAUAUGACAAUUGACAGAUGUAUAUGUAUUUCUUCUAAUGUCAUGUACAUUAUUCUUAUUUUUAUUUUAUUUUUUUAUUUGAUCGUUUCAGGGUUUUUAAAAAUACUGCAUGUUGUCAUAAUAAAGUGACAUUGUCUUGA
Molecule: long non-coding RNA, 822 nt
Organism: Gigantopelta aegis
Lineage: Eukaryota; Metazoa; Mollusca; Gastropoda; Neomphalida; Peltospiridae
Exons: 2
Source: RefSeq, a predicted model, not a curated record